This 69-nucleotide transfer RNA is filed under the name Ictidomys tridecemlineatus (thirteen-lined ground squirrel). RNAcentral's name for it is "Spermophilus tridecemlineatus (thirteen-lined ground squirrel) tRNA". It matches the Rfam family "tRNA". Rfam says of the family: Transfer RNA (tRNA) molecules are approximately 80 nucleotides in length. The record is from Rfam by way of RNAcentral. Lineage: Eukaryota; Metazoa; Chordata; Mammalia; Rodentia; Sciuridae.
GGAUUUGUAGCUCAGUGGUAGAGCACUUGCCUGGCAUGUGUGAGGCCCUGGGAUCGAUCCUCAGCACCA